ACCUGGCCGGUCCAUCAAGCUCCUCCGACCGGCCCAAUCCCCACGUCACGACUCUUCCCAACCACCCCACCUCCCGCACCACCUCUGCCCCAUCCUCCCGGGCACCUCCUGCCGCCGGCCCCGGCGUGCCACCCGCCGCCGACCAACCCCCUCCCCGGCCCGACGCGGCCUCCCAAACCACCCGCCGCCGCCCGCGCCCUCCCCAGAUCCCCCGCCUAGCCGGUUCCCGCUGCGGCCGCCGCAAUCCUCCACGGAUCCCGGCGGCGCCCUCCCUUCGGCGUGCUCCUUGAUCCCGUCGUCACGCCCUGGAUCCGGCUGCCCCGGACCCCGCCAGAUCUGGUAGAAGUUCCCGACUACUCUCGGCUGCUGCCAGGGAAGAACCUCGCCAUCACGCCACUUCGUCCUUCUGACGCUGCAGCGCGCAAGCCGUUCACCUUCGUCGCCCAUGUCCGUCCAAUGACUGGUCACCAUGCACGCCUACCUGACCUUCAUGGGGUACCAGUGGCGCCCUUCAUCGCGUUCGUCUGACCACAAACAGGGGAGAAAGAGCUGUACGCGAGCGCUACGAUCGAGCUGCACCUUAGCUCGGAGUCGGGCAACGGCGAGCUGCACCUCAGCUACGGCCACACCCAUGGCACGGGCGAACGCGAUGAAGUUAAACAUUGAGGUGCUCAGCAGGCAGAGGGGACAGAUAAAAUGCUGGGAGGAUUGGGGCAGGACCGCAGGAGGUAGCAGCAAGCCUUAAGGAGUUGGAGGCACAUUACUACUCAUCAAUUGUCCGUACUCUGCUCUAUGAUUGAGGUGCUUUUCCACCCAUCUGAAAUUUCUCCGGCAACACUCGCCAACAGCUUGUUUCCCCAAUGUUGUGGAUCGACAAGGAUACAACGUGCUUCUCCUGCUCGCUUGGGUCAAUGGGUGAUUCGGCUGCUGAAGUUGACUAGUAAUUAUCUACUUAAAUUUUCAAGGAUAAGCUCGCUUCUACAUUUUCAUAUAUACCAGCUUCUGUUAUUUACAUAUCAGAUGCUCUAACUAAAUCAUCUUGUGUGUUCAGAGACUGCAAAUUCUGCUAUGUACCUUCAGCAGAAUUAGGUGAUGAAAAUGUUGCUCCUCCUAUGGAUCGCUGAUUCCACACUUUUGUCUGCAUUUAUGAAUAAUGCAUAUCCAGUACCAUGCUCUAAUGAUUUUUGAUCAAUUAUACUGCCUAUAUUACAGCAGAAUUAAUGAAGUUCAACUUUGAGAAAGCAAUAAGUCCAGCUGUAUAUGGAAAAACACUAAAAAGACAACGACCAAAAUUUUUUGUUAGUGAAGUUCAAUUUGGAAAUACAUGAUAGAAAAGGUAUUCUUUAUUUUUUACAAUAAAAAAGUAUUAUGCAUUGUUGGUUUCACCAACUAGUCACUCUCUCACAAUCAUUCUGUUACUGCUUCCCUUCUACUUCAUGAAAUUGUAUACAAAAAGAACAAGGAAUUUCAAAAUUAAAAGCAAAAAAGCAAGCAUUUCUUAAAGACAAAGAAAGUGUGUGCGAAGUUCAUAUUUUCUGUCGUGGAUGGUCCAAAAUGUUAGCUAAUGGAAAGGCACACCCUGGGUUUCCAAAAAAUAAAGAGGCGAACACACACACACACACACACAAAUAUGUUGAUAGAGUGAACUGUGACUAAAAAGGCAUGUUUUGCAAACAAAUUUCUUCGACAAUUUAUGUGAUUCAGUGGCCUUGUGACUAAAAAGGCUCCCGUCGUUUUGCUAGCACACAAGAUGCUUGUGAUAAUGCCUAUGACAGUACAUCUCCUACAGGCACCAUCAAACCCAGCUUCAGCAGUUGAAAAAAUAGAUGAAUUUAAAAACGAAAAAAGACGCAGAAGUAGAGAGGCAAGAAUUUGGCAGAAGUAGAGGCAAAAAAAUAGAUGAAUUUAAAAAUGAAAAAAGACGCAGAAGUAGUCGUUCAAAAAUGGUUGUUUGAGAAGUUUGAAAUAUAUAGAAUCUGAAAAGUUGCAACAAACAAAGUAGAAGUUCAAAAAAAAAAACGAGCGGUUCGAUGUUUAUUAUAAAAUUCCAUGGGUUUAUCGUUCCUAAAGAAUAAAACCAGGAAGUUCAAAUUAGAAAAUUAGAGCAGUUCAAAAUAAUUAUAAAAAAGCUAUUUUCCUCACUUCUAAAAAAACCUAGAAGUUUGAACUUAAAUAACAACAGCGGUUCGACGUUUACAAAAAACUAGGAUUUUCCUGUUACUAAAGAAAAAAAAUUGUGUGGAUGUGUUGUGCAUGUGCUUAUGCAUAGUACACUGAAUAGAACAAAAAAACUAUUAUGGGUGCCCUCUAAAUGUUUGUCCUAUUGCUUAUGAGAAUUGACCCAAAUUUUCCUAUUGUUUUUGGCCAUGUUGGAUUCAAGGGAAAAUGUGUAUAAAAAGGUGUGAUUUCGAAAGUUCAGUUGUAACGAACAUCGAAGUUCGAACCAAAAAAAUGUAAACAAAAAAAUCAUGGAAUUCAAAGAAUAAAAACUAUGGAGUUUCAUGAAAAAAAA
Molecule: long non-coding RNA, 2512 nt
Organism: Aegilops tauschii subsp. strangulata
Lineage: Eukaryota; Viridiplantae; Streptophyta; Magnoliopsida; Poales; Poaceae
Source: RefSeq, a predicted model, not a curated record